RNAcentral lists this ribosomal RNA (392 nucleotides) under Apiotrichum brassicae. Its description in RNAcentral is "eukaryotic LSU rRNA". It matches the Rfam family "Eukaryotic large subunit ribosomal RNA", at positions 192 to 592 of the family's 3401-position model. The record is from RNAcentral. Lineage: Eukaryota; Fungi; Basidiomycota; Tremellomycetes; Trichosporonales; Trichosporonaceae.
GGAACAGGGUAUCAAAGAGGGUGAUAAUCCCGUACUUGACACAAUCAUCAGUGCUCUGUGAUACGCUCUCUACGAGUCGAGUUGUUUGGGAAUGCAGCUCAAAAUGGGUGGUAAAUUCCAUCUAAGGCUAAAUAUUGGCGAGAGACCGAUAGCGAACAAGUACCGUGAGGGAAAGAUGAAAAGCACUUUGGAAAGAGAGUUAAACAGUACGUGAAAUUGUUAAAAGGGAAACGAUUGAAGUCAGUCGUGUUCAUUGGAUUCAGCUAGUUCUUCUAGUCUACUUCUUUUGAACGGGUCAACAUCAGUUUUGUCCGGUGGAUAAAGGUAUUAGGAAUGUGACUUCCUCGGAAGUGUUAUAGCCUAGUAUCACAUACACUGGGGGAGACUGAGGA